Molecule: unclassified non-coding RNA, 1001 nt
Filed under: Hevea brasiliensis (rubber tree)
Lineage: Eukaryota; Viridiplantae; Streptophyta; Magnoliopsida; Malpighiales; Euphorbiaceae
Source: RNAcentral
UGAAAUUAAUCCUCUUAUAAUAAAGAUCAGCGGUAGAUCGAAAACAAAAAUAGAUGACGUAUCUAAGGUGAGGCAUAUCAAUCACAAGAGCAAUGCUGCAGUAAAAAAGAAUAAGAAACUGAAUAUGAAACAACCACCCAUCAUUUUUACGCACCGCCCGCCAACAGUAUGCAGUGCCACUUGCAGUUUACUGCACUUUAAGCCUCAUUUUCUGUUAUCACUAAAACAUGACAGCUGCUCAAGCAGCACAACUAAGUUGAUAAUAAUUGGGCUGCAAGGGGAAAAUUUGAAUCCUCACAAUUUACAAAUUCUUUCAUGCUCUCUGAAUUUUCUACCCUAAAAGAGAAGUGGCUCAGAAGCACGGGGCCCUUCCAAUCAAAGAGACUUUACAGAACAAAUAGGAAAGAAAUGUGCCAUCUUUAGUGUUUAAAUAGCAUAUGCUUCCAUGAAGAUCAUGGCCAACAUCUAGGCUAACCAAGCAGGAAACUGAACACAUCACUCAAUGAGAUGAUCCCUUGUACACGCUUGCUACCAGCCUCCACAAUCAAAAGUCUCCUAACACCUGAAAGCAACAAAGAAAUUACUGAAAAUUGUACCUGAAAAGUAUUGCAACUCCAUUUAAUUAAAGUAAACAACAAAUAAAAGGCUAAAUUAGUAUUAGAAGCACCAGGGUUUGCCAAUCGCUCCAUCACUUUGUGUAGAGGAUCGGAUCCUAAACACAUCUGACAUCUCUGUCCAUUGUAGAAUCCAUAUGGUGUAUUUGCAUCUUGUCCCAACUGCAAUGCCUCAUGAAUACUGAUUUCAUCAAGAUGAAUUUGCGCAUAGGCUUUGUCUUUUGCCAAAGCAGUGAUAUCACUAUCAAGAAAAUAACAAAAAGGUGUCACUGGCUUACCUGUACAUCAAUAAACAUGGAGGCAAAGAAAACAAGGAAAUUUACCUUCUUGAGUAUAUGUCCAAGAGUGAAUCAUUGUCAUCCACAAUUGGUAUUGAACUGACUUCAG